UUGUACUCAAUUAGGCAACAUAUAUACUAAAAUUGGAACAAUACAGAGAAGAUUAGCAUGGCCCUUUGGCAAGAAUUAUAAAUUUGGCAAAUUUGUAAAGACAAUUAAU
Small nuclear RNA from Sarcophilus harrisii (Tasmanian devil), 109 nucleotides. NCBI's taxonomy places the organism in Eukaryota, Metazoa, Chordata, Mammalia, Dasyuromorphia, Dasyuridae. The record is from Ensembl.